Molecule: non-coding RNA, 32 nt
Filed under: Arabidopsis thaliana (thale cress)
Lineage: Eukaryota; Viridiplantae; Streptophyta; Magnoliopsida; Brassicales; Brassicaceae
Also listed under: 2 other names
Source: RNAcentral
UCCUCAGUAGCUCAGUGGUAGAGCGGUCGGCU